UAUUUUAGAGUUAUUAUUUACAAUACUGAUAAAUCAUCAUUUCCAUUUUUCGUUCUCUCCCAUAUCGUCAUUCUACAAUUUAGCACGUCGCGCCUUGUCAAUAAUUGAACAUACCUGAUACGGAUUUAUUGUAACGGGGAACGGGAGUUUCGACAGGUAACACGGUGAAAUUAUAUCAGCACCAAUGUCAAGCUCCGUUAAGGGACAACGGGGAUCUAACGGUUAGGUCACGUGAUGACGGGGCGAGGAGAUAACGAAACGGUUGGGGUAGAAAUGGAACGGACACCCCCGGGGCGAAGAACAGCCCGCGGGAGACCCAGAAAAUUACGGGGGAAAAAAAUGAUAAUUUAAAAAGUUGGCAAGUCGAAAACUGGAGAUAGGCGAUUUCAGAUAGAAACAGGUCGAUAGAGUGGUGUAAUUACGGCGGUAGAAACCCUUGGGGAGUAUAUUUUAUACGAGGUAGUUACUGACCCGUGUUAGUAGAAGAAGUGAAAUAAUACGAUUUAUUCCAUUUUUUUUUUUUUUUUAUUUUUUAUUUAUACGUGUAUUAUUGAUUUUCGGUAAAAUGGCUAUGUCGCACUUACGACGAAUAUCAUAUUCAUUGAUAUCUACAGUAUAGGUAUAUUGUAGGUAAGGUCCGAAAAAUGGAUUCUAUUGGUGUAAGCAGUGACGUGGUUGCCCGGUGUUUGCCCUGAUGCGAUAUUACGCCCGGCCCAAAGGUGAUUCCUAGCGAUUUGACGUAUAUUUGUUUGGUUUUUCAUGAUAAUUAUUACGCCAACGUCUGAGAUUUCGUCACCACGUCACUGGGCUUAAGUAUGUUAAUACUAUCGUCUAUAAUUGUCAACACGUGAAUUAAUCGACACAGUACACGUCCUAUACAAUUUACUAUUCAAUCGUACGUACAAUUUUGUUCUAUAUUCGAUUCAGUAAUUGUAUUUUAACGCUAAUAUUAAUAGAAAAUGUGAACUUAGUAUUUAUUAUUAUUAUUAUUAUUAUUAAUUGUGUAUUCUAAAUAACUUAUAUAAUGUACCAUUCGGCUUUACUAUAAUUUUAUAAUAUGCUCGAGAUGGUAUUAUAGUUAAAAAUGGUAACAUUCUACCACGUUGUUUGUAUUAAAUUAGUUGUAAAUAAGUUUAAG
This is a non-coding RNA of Cinara cedri, 1138 nucleotides long. The record is from the annotation of a GenBank genome assembly. Lineage: Eukaryota; Metazoa; Arthropoda; Insecta; Hemiptera; Aphididae.